UUCUUGAAAAUUAAGGGAUUUGACGGUGCAUUAGUCUUUUCAGAGGAAUCUGUUCUAUAAUUGAUUUUACACGUUUUGAAAUUCUUAGUUUAUGUUUACAUAUCGCCGUAUAUCUGAAUUUUUUAUUAGAAUUUUAAUGUUCAAUAUUUUAGUUUAAAUUUAUUGCAGGUCAAGACGUAGCUUUUAAUUGAGAAGAAAUGGAUUACAAUAAAUUUAUUUAUAUGAAAUAAUUUUUUUAACUAUUUUAGGAAGGUGGAUUUGAAGGUAAUUUUAUUUUAAAUUAUUUAAGUGAUUUAGCUCUAAUACAUGUACAUAUUGUCCGUCACUUUCAUUAUAAAAUGAAAUAAGUCGUAACAUAGUAGAUGUACUGGAAAGUGCAUCUAGUAAGACAAACUAAAGCUUGUAGCGUUUUAGUUACAUUAAAAAGUUUAUUGUAUAAUCAAUAUAGUUUGAUAUUAAUAAAUUAUUUUUGUUUAUUUAAUUUAUAUUAUUUAUUAGAAUUAACUUUUUUUUUAUUAUGGUUUAGUAAAAAAUUUUUUUUAUUAUAGUUUAUUAGUACUGUGAAGGAAUUUUUAUAUUAAUUAAAAAGAAUAAUUUAUUUUUUGUACCUGGG
This 613-nucleotide ribosomal RNA is filed under the name Crossotarsus sp. NLG-2014. Its description in RNAcentral is "partial 16S ribosomal RNA". Lineage: Eukaryota; Metazoa; Arthropoda; Insecta; Coleoptera; Curculionidae. The record is from RNAcentral.